UAUGGCUAGGGGGUCUUAAAGGAUGGUCCCCCACACUGGUACUGAGACACGGACCAGACUCCUACGGGAGGCAGCAGUGAGGAAUAUUGGUCAAUGGGCGGAAGCCUGAACCAGCCAUGCCGCGUGCAGGAUACUGCCCUACGGGUUGUAAACUGCUUUAGCCCGCCAGGAAACGUCCCCACGUGUGGGGAUUUGACCGGCGGUAGAAUAAGCAUCGGCUAACUCCGUGCCAGCAGCCGCGGUAAUACGGAGGAUGCGAGCGUUAUCCGGAUUUAUUAGGUUUAAAGGGUGUGUAGGCGGGGCGUUAAGUCAGUGGUGAAAUCCCGGGGCGCAACCUCGGAACUGCCAUUGAAACUAUCGCCCUUGAGUUCAGUUGAGGCGGGCGGAAUGUGUAAUGUAGCGGUGAAAUGCUUAGAUAUUACACAGAACACCGAUUGCGUAAGCAGCUCGCUAAACUGUUACUGACGCUGAUGCACGAAAGCGUGGGGAGCGAACAGGAUUAGAUACCCUGGUAGUCCACGCCGUAAACGAUGAUCACUCGCUGUAUGCCUUUUGAGGUAUGUGGCUUAGCGAAAGCAUUAAGUGAUCCACCUGGGGAGUACGUCGGCAACGAUGAAACUCAAAGGAAUUGACGGGGGCCCGCACAAGCGGUGGAACAUGUGGUUUAAUUCGAUGAUACGCGAGGAACCUUACCUGGGCUUAAAUGUAGCGCGACCGCGCCCGAAAGGGCGCUUCCCCUCGGGGCGCGCCACAAGGUGCUGCAUGGCUGUCGUCAGCUCGUGCCGUGAGGUGUCGGGUUAAGUCCCAUAACGAGCGCAACCCCUAUCCUUAGUUGCCAGCGGGUAAUGCCGGGGACUCUAAGGAGACUGCCACCGUAAGGUGUGAGGAAGGUGGGGAUGACGUCAAGUCAGCACGGCCCUUAUGUCCAGUGCUACACACGUGUUACAAUGGCCGGUACAAAGGGCAGCUACCUGGUGACAGGAUGCUAAUCUCUAAAACCGGUCCCAGUUCGGAUCGGAGUCUGCAACUCGACUCCGUGAAGUUGGAAUCGCUAGUAAUCGUAUAUCAGCAAUGAUACGGUGAAUACGUUCCCGGGCCUUGUACACACCGCCCGUCAAGCCAUGGAAGCCGGGGGUGCCUGAAGUCGGUGACCGCAAGGAGCUGCCUAGGGCAAAACUGGUAACUGGGGCUAAGUCGGAACAAGGUA
Molecule: ribosomal RNA, 1207 nt
Filed under: metagenome
Description: bacterial SSU rRNA
Rfam family: Bacterial small subunit ribosomal RNA
Source: RNAcentral